UACAGAGGGUGCGAGCGUUGUCCGGAAUCACUGGGCGUAAAGGGCGCGUAGGUGGCGACCCAAGUCGAUGGUGAAAGCUCGCCGCUCAACGGCGAGUCGGCCACCGAUACUGGGUUGCUCGAGCACUGUAGAGGCUAAUGGAAUUCCGGGUGUAGCGGUGGAAUGCGUAGAGAUCGGGAGGAACACCUGAGGCGAAGGCGGGCUACUGGGCCGAUACUGACGCUGAUGCGCGAAAGCCAGGGGAGCGAACGGG
RNAcentral lists this ribosomal RNA (253 nucleotides) under uncultured bacterium. RNAcentral describes it as "partial 16S ribosomal RNA". It matches the Rfam family "Bacterial small subunit ribosomal RNA", at positions 524 to 776 of the family's 1533-position model. The record is from RNAcentral.